This 8048-nucleotide long non-coding RNA is filed under the name Populus trichocarpa (black cottonwood). RNAcentral describes it as "long non-coding RNA (PTRI_LNC004156)". The record is from RNAcentral. Lineage: Eukaryota; Viridiplantae; Streptophyta; Magnoliopsida; Malpighiales; Salicaceae.
UGUGUGACCUUGUGGAGCCGGCGUUGAUGGAGAUCGGUCUGUCCGUUGACCCGGAGGGAAGUGGGGGGUCGGUUGAGAGAGACCUUGCUGCUGCUGCUGCUGCUGCCACCGCUGAGGGAAGGACUGUCGUUGGCCGGUGCCCACGGCGGCUGUAGAAGGAAAGACCUGCUGGUCGAAGGAGGCCGUGGGUCGGAGGAGAUGGGGAUGACUCUGCCGUCCUCUUGUCGGCGGAGAUGAGGCCUUGGCUGGUCAGCGGCUGGAAAAGGAGAGAUGAGGAGAAUCGGCUGGUUAUGUUUUUGGCCGAAGGAGAGGAGAAGAAAGUCUGUGUGCAGAGGGGGCCGGUCUGUUUGGCCGAGAGUGAGAGCAACCAAAGGGAAGAUGGCCGGAGCCAAAAUGGGGGUCGGUUCGGUUUGUCUUUGGCAAAGAGAGGGGAAGUGGCCGGCUAUGGGAGAUGACCGGCGGUGUGGGAGAAGGAAGGAAAAGGAGAGCUGCGGUGGCUUGGGGGGUGAAGAAGAUGGUGGAACCGGCUGAAAAGGAAAACCAAAAACGUGGGGGGCGGCUCCUCUUGAAAAAAAGAUGGGUUUAGGGUUAGGUUUUUUUGUAUUUUUUUCUGAGGUUGUCAAAAUUGCCCCCCCAGGUUUUGAGUUAAAGGCUGCUAUUUAUAGGCAGAAUAUUUUUUCGGGCUUCAAAAUUGGUCCCUUAAUUUUUGUGUUUGGCCCCUAAUCUCAAUCAAUUCACUUGGUAAAACUUAAAUUGGGUCUCUUAAAAUUCCGAUCUUUUCAUUAAGCCCAAAUUAGGCUCCCAAACUUAAUUUUUCACCAAUUAAGCCCUCAAAUUAAUUUGACCCGCUUAAAGUAUAAUUAAGUCAUUGGACUUAAUUAACUCCUUCAAUUGGACCUAAAUUAAUUCUUAAACAUAAUUAAAAUUCAAUUUGGCCCAUGAUUAAAUCAAAUUGGCCCAUUAAAAAUUUAAUUAUGUCAUUGGACUUAAUUUUUAUGCAAAUUCGUCCAAUACUCAUUUAAUUUGACCUUUGAAUUUGUAUUUUUCUAUUUUUGGGCAUAACAGCGUACACUUGGGCCUUGAAAUUCCUCCGAAAAUUGCAGCUUGAUUUUCGCCUAUUUUUGCAGCCUUUCUUGGUCGGCUUUCUCUGAAUUGCCAGCCUUUAUUUUUUUUAUUAUUUUUUUUUAUUUUUUUGGGAAAAAAACGAAUUUUGGGGAAUCACCCAAAAUUAGGUGAUGACAGUUGCCCCCCUCUUUACAAUGCUUAUGGUAGAAAGUCUUACGAGACUUUAGAUAGUAAGCGUUGUAAAGAAGAAAAAAAGGAUGAGAUAUGAUUGACUCAUCUUGUUGAGGAAUGAUGAAUCCUCUUGAGGGCUAGGAAGCGCACUCGGAGUAAAAACUGGAAGAGUUUUUGAAAAUUCAAAGAUUUUGAAAUGGUCGAACUGUCAUGGGUGACCUACCCGGUGAAAUUUUUUUUUUUAGGUGGUCUCAUUGUAAAGGGUGACCUACCUAGGUGAAAAACCCGAAGAUUUUAAAGUGGUGAAAAAUACAAAGAUUUUUCGAAGUGGUGAGAAAUGUAAAGAUUUCUCAAAAUGGUUUCAUGGGAAAAAUUUGAAGGUGGUGAGAAACGCAAGGAUUUCUUAAAAAUGGUUUUAUUGUUAUGGGCAACCGGCCCAAAAAUAGAAAAAUUUGAAGGUGGUGAGAAAUGCAAGGAUUUCUUAAAAAUGGUUUUAUUGUUAUGGGCAACCGGCACAAAAUGGAAAAAAUGCAAAGAUUUCUCAAAAUGGUUUCAUUGUUAUGGGCAACCAGCCCAAAUAGAAGAUGAAAAGUGUUUUGAGAGAGGUCUGAUUACAAUGGGUGACCUACCCGGGCAAGAAGACAAAAUGUCUGAAAAGGAUGACAUUAUAGGACUCGAUGGGGAACAAGGGCUGAAGAGCACACUCGAAAGGAGGUAGGGUUAGAAAAACACGCUACCUAAGAAGUGAGGGCUUGAAGGAGCUUUCAAAAAGAGGCAGGGUUGGAGAACGCACUACCUAAGAGGUGAUUGAUGACUCGAAUGUGCACUUAAAAAGAGGCAGGGUUGGAAAACACACUACCUAAGGUGGUUGACGGCUCAAAGGCACACUAAAAAGGAGGCAUGGUUAGAAAACAUACUACCUAAGGUGGUUGAUGACUCGAAGCCGCACUUAAAAAGAGGAGGCAGGGUUGGAAAACACACUACCUAAGAUGGUUGGUGGCUUGAAGGCACACUAAAAAGAGGCAGGGUUGGAAAACACACUACCUUAGGUGGUUGAUGGCUCGAAGGCGCACUAAAAAAGAGGCAGGGUUGGAAAACACACUACCUAAGAUGGUUGAUGGCCCUAAGGCGCACUAAAAAGGAGGCAGGGUUGGAAACACACUACCUAAGAUGGUUGAUGGCCCUAAGGCGCACUCAAAAGGAAGCAGGGUUAGAGAACACACUACCUAAGGUGGUGGAUGGCUAGAAGGCGCACUCAAAGGGAGGCAGGGUUGGAAAAACACGCUACCUAAGAGGUUGAUGGCCCUAAGGCGCACUAAAAAGGAGGCAGGGUUAGGAAACACACUACCUAAGAUGGUUGAUGGCCCUAAGGCGCACUAAAAAGGAGGCAGGGUUAGGAAACACACUACCUAAGAUAGUUGGUGGCUUGAAGGCACACUAAAAAGGAGGCAUGGUUGGAAAACACGCUACCUAAGGUGUGAAGGCUCGAAAGCCCACUAAAAAAGGAGGCAGGGUUAGAAAACACACUACCUAAAGUGUGAGGGCUCGAAGGCCCACUCAAAAAGAAGGUAGAUAGGGCUAGAAAGCACACUACCUAAGAUGUGAGGGCUCGAAAGCCCACUCAAAAAUGGAGGCAGGGUUAGAAAACACACUACUCAAGGUGUGAGGGCUCGAAGGCCCACUAAAAAGGAGGCAGAUAGGGCUAGAAAGCACACUACCUAAGAUGCGAGGGCUCGAAAGCCCACUCAAAAAUGGAGGCAGGGUUAGAAAACACACUACCCAAGGUGUGAGGGCUCGAAGGCCCACUAAAAAGGAGGCAGAUAGGGCUAGAAAGCACACUACCUAAGAUGCGAGGGCUCGAAAGCCCACUCAAAAAUGAAGGCAGAUAGGGCUAGAAAGCACACUACCUAAGAUGUGAGGGCUCGAAAGCCCACUCAAAAAUGGAGGCAGGGUUAGAAAACACACUACUCAAGGUGUGAGGGCUCGAAGGCCCACUAAAAAGGAGGCAGAUAGGGCUAGAAAGCACACUACCUAAGAUGCGAGGGCUCGAAAGCCCACUCAAAAAUGGAGGCAGGGUUAGAAAACACACUACCCAAGGUGUGAGGGCUCGAAGGCCCACUAAAAAGGAGGCAGAUAGGGCUAGAAAGCACACUACCUAAGAUGCGAGGGCUCGAAAGCCCACUCAAAAAUGAAGGCAGAUAGGGCUAGAAAGCAUACUACCUAAGAUGUGAGGGCUCGAAAGCCCACUCAAAAAUGGAGGCAGGGUUAGAAAACACACUACCUAAGGUGUGAGGGCUCGAAGGCCCACUCAAAAAUGGAGGUAGAUAGGGCUAGAAAGCAUACUAUCUAAAUGGCGAGGGCUUAACAGCUCGCUCAAAGAGGUGAUGGUGAGACACUGCUAUGUCAAGGAUGAAAGCAAUGUAUCAUGAUCAAUAUGCAUGUAUACUUACCUGAGAAAUGUAGGUCCCCUUUCUUCAUGGAGUUCCCUUUUCUACAUGGAGUUCUCUUUUCUUCAUGGAGUUCUCAUUUUCUCAAAAGUUUGAGUCUCUGAUAGUAAACUUCGAUGGCUCUUUUCGCUCUUGCUUACUCGAGUCAUCUCUUGUGAUAUUGACCCCUGGGAAAGACUUGAUAUCAUCAUACUUCUUUGUCCUCCGCCCCUUUAUCUCAAGAGUUGCCAAUUUUGCCCAAUAGUUUCUUAGAAAAGGAAUCAUGGAGCCAGCUCUACCAGAUGUUUUUGAUUGCCCCUAGCUUGAUCAUGCCCGCAAGUAUUCAAUUCGGGUUUGGGGAUGAGGCUAUGUGAAGGAAGAUUUGGUUAUUUACAAGGAGUUGUUUUCAUGUAGAAUUUCUGGAAUUUCAAAGCUAUUCCAGAUACAGAAAUCAUUUUGACAUUGAUUCAAAGCAAACUCAUUCUGCAGAAAUUCAAGUGAUUCCUAUGGAGAGGUUUUCAGAAGUGAUGAAAACUUUUUGUUUUGAUUUUUGGUGAAAAAUAUAAAGUGACAUUUGGUUGGUCAUAAAAGGUUGAAAUUUCAAUUUGAGGGUUAAUGAGAACCGUGUUUCGACGAAAAUGUGAAGAACACGAAGUGACAUCUGGUUGGUCACAAAAAGGUUUAAAUUUCAAUUUGAGGGUUAAUGAGAACCGUUCUUCAAAGCAUUCAUUUUAUUUGCAUGAAUAAUAAUUUUGUUUCGCAUGAGAAAGCACUGCUUACCGAUCUAGAUUGCUUGCCUUUGAUCAGAAAGGGCUUGAUUAGGUACGUAAUGUAGGCUUGGGCUGUUGGCUAUGAAGAAAAAGGAUUUUCGUAGGCUCAAAAUGUGUUUAAAGGACUUUAAGACUAAGGAUCACUAGUGCUUAUAUCCCAAACUUUUUGUUCCUACAUUUCUGGACCUUGGAAUUGAUUUGUAAAAUGAUCCACGGUGCCCCCCAAUGUUGGGCUUGGGCUAUUUCUCUUUGUUUUUGUUUUCUUCAUUUGAUUUUGAGCACCAUUGCAUUUGCUCUUUUUUUUGUUUUUGCUCAAAAUUUUUGAAUCCUUUGGAUUUUUCUUCAUGCCCCCCAGCUUUGUAUGGGCACCUUCAAUUGAUUGAGAAUUUUCUUUUAUGCCCCCCAGUAUUGUUUGGGCACUUUCAAUCAUUGAUGACUUUUUCAUGCCCCCAAGAGUUAUUUGGGCACUUUCAAUCAUUAAGGAUUUUUGGCACUUGCCCCCCAGUGUAGGGUGUGAUCCUAGCCAAGGUUAUUUUUCAAGAAAAAUUUAUUAGGCUCAAAAGGGGACUGCAAAGGAUAUAUUUCAGCCUUGUGAAAGGAUUAUCAAAGAUGGCCUUUCUUCAUCUCAAAUGCAUGCAUUUAGGAUCGGUAAGCUUUGCUUUCAUGCGAGUAUGCAGAGUGAUUUCUCAUUAUUCAUGCAAAUAAAACUCCACUUUUGGAGUCACUUCAUUGUGUUUUUUUUUUUGGUUUUCUAGGUGUAUGCUUACCUCUCUAAGGAAUCACCUGAAUUUCCAGAACUUGUUUGUUUAAACAAACACCAACAUGAUUUCUGUUUUGUACUAAACUUUGAAUUCCCAAAAAUCCUUAUGAAAAUAUGCAUGGUUUUGGAAGGGGAAACACGCCCAAAGAUUCUUGGCGCAAUGGUUUCAUGUUCAAAGGUUAUGUUCAAUGUGUUAUUUACAUAAAACAACAACAAAAUAAAGACAUGUCAUGAACACUGGAAAAUACAUGACCUUAUUAACAAGUAAGGCUCAGUGGACAGGGAAAGUCUUAUGGAAUUUUGAGCCAAGUUACCGACAAAACUGGAAUAGGUUGAAAAAAUCAAGAAGUUUUUGCAGGCAUGAUCGAGCAGAGGUAUUUAUUAUUUUUUUUGGGCAGAACAAGAACAGGCUCCAUUCUGCAACGGUGGUGCAAUUCCCCUUCGGAUUGUGUUGAGGCUUUUGACCAUGUUUGCCUCCAAUUUCUUCGGGUUGAGUCAUUGUUGGGGUUUGAACAAAGAUGAUAGGUCAGUUGGAAGGAACUUCCUUAUAGAUAUUUUUCAAUAUUUGCUGGAGUAAGCCAGAAGCAAGUCAAGCUUUUGUUCAGAGACUCCAACUUUUUUGAAAAUGGGUGAUGCGGCGAGCACACUCUGUAUCUCCAACGUUUUCUUGCUCAAAAUUAGGUGUUGUAGCCUCGGAGGGGACCUACUUUUCAUUCUGGUGCAUGCAUGAAAAAAUGUAUGAACAUGAAAUCUAUAUGAUGAGCUCGCCCUUUAAGGGGUGACAUAUGAUCGUCACUCUUGCAUGAUGGAACAAGAAUCUUGAUUCUUGCCCAAACUCCACAAGUCUUGAGUUCAAGAUGCUUCAAGAAGAGUUCGCCCCAAUGCAAAUAAAUGAUAGCACAUACAACCUAAGGACAGGUUCUAUUCAUUAUGUGAACAUGGGUAGGUUUUCUACCUGGUCUCAAAAGGGUCUAUGAACUGCCCAGUGACCACCUCCCGUGAAGGCAGUAUAGGGGUUUACAAGGGAUGGUUGGGGCACUAUGUGACCGCCAUCACCAAGUAAACACUCAGCUCAUAGUUGGAUGUUUCACGAAUCUGAACCCCGACUGAAAGUCAUGAGGCAGACCGCUACUCCCCACCUAACUUAGAAGCUUGUGUGUGCUUUCAAAAAUAAAUACAAGUGAUGCAUGAAACACUUCUAAAAAUGCAUGGAUAAAAUAAAACAAGACAAAAAUGACAAAAUUUAAACACAUCAAAUACACAAAGCUUAGUCCAAUAUUGUCAGAAACAGUACCUCCCCAGUGGAGUCACCAUUCUGUCGCACGUCGGUAAACCCCGUGCGGCGUCCCGUCCUGGCGAUGGCGGUUUUUCUCUUUGUUAUUGGAAUUGAUUUUGUUGGGAGUCGCCACCUAGUAUUUAAUUGAGGGUUACUAGGAAACCCACACGUACUGGUCUUGUCAGAGAUUCGCGAGUAAGAGACUGGUUGCGGUUAGGGAAGGUAUUAGCACUCCUAACGCACCCUACCUGAGAUAAGCUGCUUCGUGACUGUGAUGUGUUAAAGAAGUUUUAAAAAUUUUAUCUUUUCAUCGGAUUUUAGAAAUACAACUUCCGUACAAGUUUGUACUUCUACACCGUGAUCCAAUCAAAAUAUUAAAUCCUUCUUUAUUCCUUGCAAUUUUAUCCAAAAAAAAAAUAUAUCCAUAAAAAAAAAACAUUCAAACACACACAUACAUUUUUUCUAUAUUUUUUCUUUUCUUUUUUUUUUUCUUUUUUACUUUUUUUUUCUUUUUUUUUUACAUCCACAAUACAAAUUAUAAUAUUCAAAACUAAAUAAAAUUUACAUCAAAUAAUCCAAAAUUUACAAAACAGUCCCCAAAACUCCGGGAAUUGCAAACGAGCCACUUCUGGAAUCGCAGCAACAGUGCUGGAACAGUGGCGGCGCGUCUUCCCACGCGCCGCCGCCGGUGAAGACCAGCAAGCUGGUAGAUCGGGAUCGUCUCCUUCUCCUCUUCUCUGUCCGUCCGUACCGGCGGUGCACCUCCCAGUCACCUGCAAAGCAAACCAACAACACAAACAGUUCCGGUUCUCCCCUUUUAGAUCUGCCUCGGGUCAGCUGUUAUGGGUUUCACCUUCUUCUCCUCUGCUUCGGGUAGCAGAUCGGGCGGCGCUGCAGCGCCUUAGUCGCGGUGAAAAGCUGGACUGGUGCUGUUGCUGUGUGACCUUGUGGAGCCGGCGUUGAUGGAGAUCGGUCUGUCCGUUGACCCGGAGGGAAGUGGGGGGUCGGUUGAGAGAGACCCGGCUGUGGGUUGCUGCUGCUGCUGCUGCCACCGCUGAGGGAAGGACUGUCGUUGGCCGGUGCCCACGGCGGCUGUAGAAGGAAAGACCUGCUGGUCGAAGGAGGCCGUGGGUCGGAGGAGAUGGGGAUGACUCUGCCGUCCUCUUGUCGGCGGAGAUGAGGCCUUGGCUGGUCAGCGGCUGGAAAAGGAGAGAUGAGGAGAAUCGACUGGUUAUGUUUUUGGCCGAAGGAGAGGAGAAGAAAGUCUGUGUGCAGAGGGGGCCGGUCUGUUUGGCCGAGAGUGAGAGCAACCAAAGGGAAGAUGGUCGGAGCCAAAAUGGGGGUCGGUUCGGUUUGUCUUUGACAAAGAGAGGGGAAGUGGCCGGCUAUGGGAGAUGACCGGCGGUGUGGGAGAAGGAAGGAAAAGGAGAGCUGCGGUGGCUUGGGGGGUGAAGAAGAUGGUGGAACCGGCUGAAAAGGAAAACCAAAAACGUGGGGGGCGGCUCCUCUUGAAAAAAAGAUGGGUUUAGGGUUAGGUUUUUUUUGUAUUUUUUUCUGAGGUUGUCAAAAUUGCCCCCCCA